Molecule: long non-coding RNA, 340 nt
Filed under: Nicotiana benthamiana
Lineage: Eukaryota; Viridiplantae; Streptophyta; Magnoliopsida; Solanales; Solanaceae
Description: long non-coding RNA (NBEN_LNC007888)
Source: RNAcentral
UGUUGAGUUGUCCCACAUCGGAGGGAUUUGAGGUCCUUGGUCUCCUUAUAUGGCUUGGGCAAUCCUCACCUCAUAUGCUAGCUUUUGGGGUUGAGUUAGGCCCAAGGUCCAUUCUUAUCAUGGUAUCAGAGCCAGGUCCAUCCCAAUUAUAGGUCCUUGGUCUCCUUAUAUGGCUUGGGCGCUAGCUUUUGGGGUUGAGUUAGGCCCAAGCUCCAUUCUUAUCAUGGUAUCAGAGUCAGGCACAUCCCAAUUAUUGUUACCGAUGUUGGACCCCCAUUUAUGUUGUCCACGCUCCAGAGAUCUGGGCGUGAGGGGGGUGUUGAGUUGUCCCACAUCGGAG